ACUUUGCAGUCUGAGUAAACUUAAUUAAUAAAUUAAAACUUUUAACAACGGAUCUCUUGGUUCUGGCAUCGAUGAAGAACGCAGCGAAAUGCGAUAAGUAAUGUGAAUUGCAGAAUUCAGUGAAUCAUCGAAUCUUUGAACGCACAUUGCGCCCCCUGGUAUUCCGGGGGGCAUGCCUGUUCGAGCGUCAUUU
This 193-nucleotide ribosomal RNA is filed under the name Cladosporium cladosporioides. RNAcentral describes it as "5.8S ribosomal RNA". The stretch from base 37 to 190 matches the Rfam family "5.8S ribosomal RNA". Rfam says of the family: 5.8S ribosomal RNA (5.8S rRNA) is a component of the large subunit of the eukaryotic ribosome. It is transcribed by RNA polymerase I as part of the 45S precursor that also contains 18S and 28S rRNA. RNAcentral also lists the same sequence under 1 other name. Lineage: Eukaryota; Fungi; Ascomycota; Dothideomycetes; Cladosporiales; Cladosporiaceae. The record is from RNAcentral.